Molecule: ribosomal RNA, 440 nt
Filed under: uncultured bacterium
Lineage: Bacteria
Description: partial 16S ribosomal RNA
Rfam family: Bacterial small subunit ribosomal RNA
Source: RNAcentral
CCUACGGGAGGCAGCAGUGGGGAAUAUUGCACAAUGGGGGAAACACUGAUGCAGCGACGCCGCGUGAGCGAUGAAGUAUCUCGGUAUGUAAAGCUCUAUCAGCAGGGAAGAAGAUGACGGUACCUGACUAGGAAGCUACGGCUAACUACGUGCCAGCAGCCGCGGGAAUACGUAGGGGGCAAGAGUUAUCCGGAUUUACUGGGUGUAAAGGGAGCGUAGACGGUGUUGCAAGCCAGCUGUGAAAGCCCGGGGCUCAACCCUGGGACUGCGUGUCGAACUGUGUGGCUGGAGUGUGCGAGAGGCAGGCGGAAUUCGUAGUGUAGCGGUGAAAUGCGUAGAUAUUAGGAGGAACACCAGCGGCGAAGGCAGCCUGCUGGACGAUGACUGACGUUGAGGCUCGAAAGCGUGGGGAGCAAACAGGAUUAGAUACCCGGGUAGUC